UGUACAGGCUUGAAAAGGAAGAUAUUUUAACAAAGAACUCAAAGAUCUAGGACGGUAGACAUUUAUUCAACAACACUUAAUGUCUGCAUAACACUCGGCACUCUAUAACUCCAGGGAUAAAGAAUUCAGUGCAAAGCAAGUGAAGCCCUCAAAGAGUUCACAGCCCAGCAGGAACGAGUUUAGAAAGAACAACAGAAAAUAAGAAGAGCCAUAUGGAAUAUGCAAGUGGGUGAAAAAGUACCAACAUAAUAAUACUAUAUGUUUCUUCCUUUUUAAGAGAAGAAUUGGAGUUCUACAUUUUCAUUACUGGGUAAAGGCUAGAUAUGAUGGGUGCGAUGAAUUUAUAUGCACAGAUGCCUGUUUCUGGCAUUACCAAGCUUGAUAGUAUCACAUGUUCACUGUACACUGUCAUUUAUUCCCACAUGUAUCUAAUCGCUCAGCCUCCUUAACUGGAUUGGAAGCAUUGGAGGUCAGGAGGAUGCACCUUAUACAUCUUUUAUCUCCAGGGUUUAGAAUCAUGCCUUACACAUUGCAGGUGCUCAAUAAAUGUUUGAUGAUGAUGGCAGCUUGCUUUGCAAUUAAAAAAAUGGAGUUUCCUAAGACAAGUAUAUUCUAUUUUUUCAAUCAGUGUAAGGAAAAGUAUCUUCUCCUAAAGGAAUUGGACAGUGAACAUUGUGGUUUACUAUGUGUAAUCAGGUACAAGCUCAAUUGCUGUAACGAAGACUCUCAAAAUGCCUUGACUUAAGAUAAGACAUUAUUUUGCUCUCUUGUUACACUUUUAGAAGUUUGUGGUCCUGAUCUGUUAUCAUCUGGGGACUCAGGCUGGUAGGGCCGCUCUGCCAUCAUCUUGAGCAUGGGGCUUUCAUCUCCGGGUCUGAGAGUGAUCCAUGUUAUUGGGUUUAUCAGUAGUCUGUUCUUUUUUAUUGCUGAGUAAUAUUCCUUUGUAUGAAUGUGUCUAUACAAAGGAAUAUUACACAAAUCUAAAAAUAGAGAGACGCUCUAAAACUGUGAGUUUAUUUAUUUAUUUUUUCCUUUUCGCCUGCCUGGUUGAAAUAUGUAGGACUACUUUAGCUUUUUAUUGUAUUUCAUUUAAUAAACUUUUAUUGAGUGACCCUAUGGGCCAAAUACUGUGCUGAGGGAUGGGGAUACAAAGGCGUGUAAAUCCUUGUCUCUUCCCUCAAGUUACAGUUCAGCUAGAGGAGAAAAAGACAGUUGUGU
Molecule: long non-coding RNA, 1218 nt
Filed under: Homo sapiens (human)
Lineage: Eukaryota; Metazoa; Chordata; Mammalia; Primates; Hominidae
Description: HSALNT0265198
Source: RNAcentral